Molecule: ribosomal RNA, 460 nt
Filed under: uncultured bacterium
Lineage: Bacteria
Description: partial 16S ribosomal RNA
Rfam family: Bacterial small subunit ribosomal RNA
Source: RNAcentral
CCUACGGGAGCCAGCAGUGAGGAAUAUUGGUCAAUGGGCGGAAGCCUGAACCAGCCAAGUCGCGUGAGGGAUUAAGGCCCUGCGGGUCGUAAACCUCUUUUGCCGGGGAGCAGUGGUCCGGACGUGUCCGGGCCGGGAGAGUACCCGGAGAAAAAGCAUCGGCUAACUCCGUGCCAGCAGCCGCGGUAAUACGGAGGAUGCGAGCGUUAUCCGGAUUUAUUGGGUUUAAAGGGUGCGUAGGCGGGCAUUUAAGCCGGCGGUCAAAUGUCGGGGCUCAACCCCGGCCUGCCGUCGGAACUGGGUGCCUUGAGUGGGCGAGAAGUAUGCGGAAUGCGUGGUGUAGCGGUGAAAUGCAUAGAUAUCACGCAGAACCCCGAUUGCGAAGGCAGCAUACCGGCGCCCGACUGACGCUGAGGCACGAAAGUGCGGGUAUCGAACAGGAUUAGAUACCCCGGUAGUC